Long non-coding RNA from Prionailurus viverrinus (fishing cat), 341 nucleotides. RefSeq lists it as uncharacterized. The transcript is spliced from 3 exons. NCBI's taxonomy places the organism in Eukaryota, Metazoa, Chordata, Mammalia, Carnivora, Felidae. The record is from RefSeq and is a predicted model, not a curated record.
UUCUCAGCAGAUGGUGCUCUGGUCCCUUAGAAAAGUGAAGGGAACUUCUUGACUUUUCUAUGCAGAGCUUGCAUCUUCCUGAACUUUACCUUCAAUUGCCAGCCGGUUACCCCACAGGCCCCUCUAGAGACUACACCCUUUUUAUUUUCUCCAGAACUACCACCAACCCUUACAGGACAUCAGGACAUCCUGGAAGGGGAAGAGAAGCAAGCUGAAGAGCAAGCCAGCCAGAGAGUGGUAUACCAUGAUGAAGACCCUUGUAAGCUACCCGGAUUCAAGUUUUUACGGAGAAAAACGAAAGUUUUUAAAGAAUGGAAACAUCUUUCUGGGCCUAACAGUUA